This 880-nucleotide ribosomal RNA is filed under the name Foleyella candezei. Its description in RNAcentral is "eukaryotic LSU rRNA". It matches the Rfam family "Eukaryotic large subunit ribosomal RNA", at positions 65 to 674 of the family's 3401-position model. Lineage: Eukaryota; Metazoa; Nematoda; Chromadorea; Rhabditida; Onchocercidae. The record is from RNAcentral.
CUAACGAGGAUUUCCCUAGUAACGGCGAGUGAAAAGGAAAAAGCCCAGCGCUGAAUCCAAUAGACACAUUUGGCUAUAUGGAAAUGUAGCGUAUAGGUGUAACUAACUGUAGCAUAUUUUUGCACCCAAAGUCCCCUUGAGCGGGGCUACAGUCCAUAGAAGGUGCUAGACCUGUACGGGUGAAAAAAGCUACGGUAUGUUAUUCUUUGGAGUCGGGUUGUUUGAGAUUGCAGCCCAAAGAGGGUGGUAAACCUCAUCUAAGGCUAAAUACGACCACGAGACCGAUAGCAAACAAGUACCGUGAGGGAAAGUUGCAAAGAACUUUGAAGAGAGAGUUCAAGAGGGCGUGAAACCGCUGAGAUGGAAACGGAUAGAGUUAACGAAACUUAUCGGUAUUCAACCAAUCAUUUUAGCAAUCUUUUAACUGAUCAAUCAUUAUUCUAAGUGCUGAGUAGGAUGAUUGUUAAGAGAGGAAGUGCUAAGAUUAUCAAAUGUCGAUUGGUGUAUUUACCGAUGGUAUGCAUCGAGAGCUUCAUUUUAGCAUAUUAAUAUAGCUCAUUUAGUGGACCAAUUAGUGCAAUUGSUAAUUGGAAUCCUAAAUCUAUUGAAAUAUGUCUUAGAUGAAGUUUUACCAUUCUUCCCAUAUGUGUAACUUUCACUUCUCUCUCUCUCWUCUUAACUGGGAGAGAGAGAGAGUGUGACAUGCAUCGAUUGUAAUUUUUGCUAAUUACAUUUACAUGUAGUCGCAUGAGACUUUAWCGGUAAAUGUUGCUUAUAGAUAAUUGGUAAAGUUAUAAUAUUGUAUGCAUCAUUAAAAGUUACAUCUCGAUGUGAACGUUAAUCACCUAUCUGACCCGUCUUGAAACACGGACCAAGGAGU